CGUGCCUGUGAUGUACAGCAGGUGUGCGAUAAGAUAUUCUUCGAAUUGUGUGUACGUCAUAGUUUCAUUUUUCAUCUUGAGCUAACAGAGUGGCAGGCUGUGAUGAUAACCACUGGCUCCAAGCCAUAUACCAUUAAAACCAACUGAAGCCAGGUCAGUAAUUUUUUAUGCCAGUUUGUUUAGUUUACAUGACUGCUGUGCCUAUUGUGCUAACCUGUUUAGUUUGGAGUAAUUGAACACCAGGUGUGUAAACUUGCCUAUAAA
This is a long non-coding RNA of Lingula anatina, 264 nucleotides long. The record is from RefSeq and is a predicted model, not a curated record. Lineage: Eukaryota; Metazoa; Brachiopoda; Lingulata; Lingulida; Lingulidae.